This 253-nucleotide ribosomal RNA is filed under the name uncultured bacterium. RNAcentral's name for it is "partial 16S ribosomal RNA". It matches the Rfam family "Bacterial small subunit ribosomal RNA", at positions 524 to 776 of the family's 1533-position model. The record is from RNAcentral.
UACGGGGGGGGCAAGCGUUGUUCGGAAUUACUGGGCGUAAAGGGCUUGUAGGUGGCCAACUAAGUCAGACGUGAAAUCCCCCGGCUUAACCUGGGAACUGCGUCUGAUACUGGACGGCUUGAGUAUGGGAGAGGAACGUAGAAUUCCAGGUGUAGCGGUGAAAUGCGUAGAUAUCUGGAGGAAUACCGGUGGCGAAGGCGGCGUUCUGGACCAUUACUGACACUGAAUCGCGAAAGCUAGGGGAGCAAACGGG